RNAcentral lists this ribosomal RNA (253 nucleotides) under uncultured bacterium. RNAcentral's name for it is "partial 16S ribosomal RNA". It matches the Rfam family "Bacterial small subunit ribosomal RNA", at positions 524 to 776 of the family's 1533-position model. The record is from RNAcentral.
UACGUAGGGUGCAAGCGUUGUCCGGAAUUAUUGGGCGUAAAGCGCGUGUAGGCGGUCCGGUAAGUCCGCUGUGAAAGUCGAGGGCUCAACCCUCGAAUGCCGGUGGAUACUGUCGGGCUAGAGUACGGAAGAGGCGAGUGGAAUUCCUGGUGUAGCGGUGAAAUGCGCAGAUAUCAGGAGGAACACCAAUUGCGAAGGCAGCUCGCUGGGACGUUACUGACACUGAGGCGCGAAAGCCAGGGGAGCGAACGGG